UACAGAGGGUGCAAGCGUUAAUCGGAAUUACUGGGCGUAAAGGGAGCGUAGGUGGCUCGAUAAGUCAGAUGUGAAAUCCCCGGGCUCAACCUGGGAACUGCAUCUGAUACUGUUGAGCUAGAGUAUGUGAGAGGAAGGUAGAAUUCCAGGUGUAGCGGUGAAAUGCGUAGAGAUCUGGAGGAAUACCGAUGGCGAAGGCAGCCUUCUGGCAUAAUACUGACACUGAGGCUCGAAAGCGUGGGUAGCAAACAGG
This 253-nucleotide non-coding RNA is filed under the name uncultured bacterium. Its description in RNAcentral is "partial 16S ribosomal RNA". It matches the Rfam family "Bacterial small subunit ribosomal RNA", at positions 524 to 776 of the family's 1533-position model. RNAcentral also lists the same sequence under 1 other name. The record is from RNAcentral.